Non-coding RNA from Doryrhamphus excisus (bluestripe pipefish), 793 nucleotides. The record is from RefSeq and is a predicted model, not a curated record. NCBI's taxonomy places the organism in Eukaryota, Metazoa, Chordata, Actinopteri, Syngnathiformes, Syngnathidae.
CGCCGGGGAGGGAAUGGCUAAUGGAGACUGCACGAGAACGUGGUGGAUGCCACCCACGUUGAGUUUUCACGCAGGAAUGCCUUGGAGUGAGACGCCCAUUCAUGAGGAGCAUGACCUUGAACGUUUUCCUGACCAGUGAAGGGGAUGAUCAUCCAUGUUAGAGACCUUCUGCCUGGCUAAGCUGCACCAACGUUACAAAGAUAAGGGCCACAACUGAAGCAGUGCGCUCCAACUCAUCCACCCAUCCCACCCGUUUCUGACUCACUGUUGCUACGACGGGUGAGGCUCCGAAGCGGAGCUAUGCUGUGCCGGGGGGGCAGUACUCGGGUUCUUCACCCCUGCUGUGCCUGAGACAAACUGUGCAAACGUUACUGUGCUCUUCAACCUGGGGGGGUGCUACCAUCGCUGCUACCGGUACGUUUAAGUGACUGUACCACUCCAGAACAAUGUGUGUGUGUGUGUGUGUGUUCAUGUCAUAAAUGUUUUCCAGGCAGUGAUGGACUCACGACGACCAAUCAAACUGUAAAUGACAGAUUGAGUUCAUAUAUAUAUAUAUAUAUAUAUAGUAUGUCGUCAGUAUGUCGUCGAGCAGGAAGUAUGUCCCCAAAAGAACAAAUCAUUGUUUUGUCUCUCGUACAAAAAAGAACUGUAGUAAAUAUGGCAGUUUGUGUAUCCAGAGGUCUCUCCAGAAGUCAGUUGUUACGAGGUAACCAGGGAGUAGAUCAUACUGAAACACAAGAAGAAAAAAAAAAAAAAACGAAGUGAGUGAGUCGAAAAAAUGUAAUGGUUGGGG